Molecule: unclassified non-coding RNA, 205 nt
Filed under: Hevea brasiliensis (rubber tree)
Lineage: Eukaryota; Viridiplantae; Streptophyta; Magnoliopsida; Malpighiales; Euphorbiaceae
Source: RNAcentral
GAAACUUAUAGUAUGCAAUUAUUUGAGAUUGCCACCAUUAUAGAUCAAGCAAUAAAAAAUAAAACAUGAAGGAAAAAAAGCCAACUACGCCAAUGAAUAACAACCACAAGUGUAAAAUGAAACAUUAAAAUAAAAACUAAGGAUUUAUUGUCUUGAAGUUCAACUACACGCCUUUUGUUUUCAUAAAAUAAAAUAAAAUAAAAUA